UACGUAGGGGGCUAGCGUUGUCCGGAAUCAUUGGGCGUAAAGAGCGUGUAGGCGGUCCGGUAAGUCCGCUGUGAAAGUCGGGGGCUCAACCCUCGAAUGCCGGUGGAUACUGUCGGGCUAGAGUGCGGAAGAGGCGAGUGGAAUUCCUGGUGUAGCGGUGGAAUGCGCAGAUAUCAGGAGGAACACCCGUAGCGAAGGCGGCACUCUGGGCCGGAACUGACGCUGAGGAGCGAAAGCGUGGGGAGCGAACAGG
Molecule: ribosomal RNA, 253 nt
Filed under: uncultured bacterium
Lineage: Bacteria
Description: partial 16S ribosomal RNA
Rfam family: Bacterial small subunit ribosomal RNA
Source: RNAcentral